Molecule: non-coding RNA, 381 nt
Organism: Paramuricea clavata
Lineage: Eukaryota; Metazoa; Cnidaria; Anthozoa; Malacalcyonacea; Plexauridae
Source: the annotation of a GenBank genome assembly
CGGUCGUGCAUGGCGAAGUCGCUGACAAGAUGAAAGGAGUUUACAGUAUAAAAGUUUGGUGAUUAUUGUCAUGUUUAUAACCCUUUUACGUCUCAAUUUAUUUGUUUUGUCGCUCCCCUAGAGGGGAAACGUGCCGAAAUUGGCCGCAUCACGAGUAAACACGCGAAAGUUUCCCAAGAAAUCGCGGAGGAAACUUUCGACAACACCAGCAUUUCGAGACCACAAAUUCCCGAAGUGGACAAAACUAAUCCGGUAAUGAAUGGGCCUGUUUCAGACGAUCAAGACGACGUAGAUUCAAAGGAAGGUGAGCUUUGGUUUGAUCAUUAUACCAGUGUGAACGUUUUAACCAUGCAAUGUCUGCAGACAUUGUUUACAAUAGAG